UUAGGGCACCUAGAAAGAUGAAGAACUGCACAUUCUUCAGCUAAUUGCCAGGAUAUAUCUCUUCUCAGUGAAGCUUUUGAUAAAAGCAGAUCAGACUGUUUGAUGCUACCUUCUCUCAGAAGGCUCUGGAAUACAGGUGCCAAGAAGAGACAGAAGGCAUCUGAAGGGCUUUCUGUCUGCAUGGAGUCAAGGCAGGGUCUUUGAACCUACGCCUUCUAAACCAAGGAAGUAAUGCUGAUCAAACAAAGUUCCCCCAGAGGAAGGGGAGAGCCAACAAUAGCAGGCUGGUGAGGAAGAUGUCUGGAGCAGGUGGGGCCUCACACUUGCCAUGAAAUCAUGUAAGUAGGGUCACCUCCUUUGCCUCCUUGUGCAGCCGGGUCUGUUACCAGAUUAGGAUCUCAGGGCUGCUGUCUUCCCUGUGCUUGGGAGGCAUCAUGACAGAGCCUGGGGUGAGAAAGGACUGAUAUCCAGGUUGCAGGGAUUGAAAGUGGCAGAGCUGGAAUUCUAUCGCAGUCCCUUGACUCUAAGAUGAAUAGUCCCAGCACACCACAGCCACGCCUUUGGCAGAUUCACCAUGCAGCAGGGAAGGCCCAACUGCACGGAGGGAGACUGAAGCCUGGGAGCCUGGCUGAGAGGAAGUGAGAGAUGUGCCCUUCACCUUCAUUCAUCAAAUCACUGCUGCAAAUAAAGCGACCUCGAACACAAGGCAAUCCUCCAUCUUCCCAAUGAGAAGAUCCCAAAAGGUCUGACCCAGUAUAGACAAUGACUGAAGGUGAUGGAAGGAGAUGCAUUUUGAAGCAAAUAUAAAGAGGAGCAAGACAACAUGGUAAUUACCAGUCUGUAAUUUCCUGCCAGGAAAAGCUAAAUCUUCUUCAAAACGAAUAUAAUAUUUCAUUGACAUAGAAAAAAUGAACAUAAUGAAAACAAUCUUCCUUUGAAGACAAGAAUAAACAAUGUCACUCGCUGUAAUCACUUCCAUCUCAGCUGCUGUCUGUCACCAAAGGACAUCUCCACUCAACUGUUUAAAGCAUCAAACACCAAUGCCCAACCAGAACUCUGGAUUUUCUUUCCUGUACCUGCUCUUCCCCCCAUCUUCUCCCUCAGCAAGUGACUCUAUCAACCAGCUAAUUGCUUGAACCAAAAAUCUAGGAGUCAUCUUUGAUUUCCUCAUCUGUUCUCUGUACCAAUUCCAGGUCAAGAAACCAAGAAAUCUCAAUUCAUCUACUUCUAAAAACAGUAGGCAGAGGGACCUUUGAAAAAUACAAACUCUAACUCCCUGCCAUGACCCAUGAAGCCCCAUGAAACCCUGAUCUGGCCUCUGCCUCACUCUCCCAUCUCGCCUCCCACCUUGGCCCCUUUCUCCCUCUGCCCCAGCCACACUUGGAGCCUCUGCACUUAUCCUUCAUGUCCCUGGACUCCUUUCUGCCCAGGCCUUUGCACACCUGGCUCCUUCUGGUCACUCAGGUCUUGGCUCAUAUGUCCCCUGUGCAGAGAGGCCUGUUCUGAUCACCCACCCUAUGCUGGGGUAGAUGCCACCCACGGAGUGACAGCUGGGCUGGAGCCGUUUGGACGCCUGCCCCAGAGGUCAGAUUGGGAGGGUGAUGGGUUUCAGCAGAGGGAGUCUGUGUGGGGUGGACCACUGGAGCUCAGGGCAGAGCAGGGAAUGGUCACCGUAUCACCCCGUCAUAGGAGUUACAGCCGGAGAGGUCCAGCAGGGGAGUUUAUGAGAAUACAAAAAAAUGUCCAGGCAAAAAACCAAAGAAGCAAAUACACAAGAAUGUUAAGUAUCACAGGACCCUGAGAACUGGCAGCAAGCAUUUAACUGUCAAUGAGAACUCUUGGCUCCAGUUCUCUCAUCCUCUGGCAAACUCCAAAUUAGAGGAAAGAGAGGAAGUGAGCAAAGAAGGAUUAGGAACGAUCACGCCUCCUUCCCGACAGCAGAUUGUCCAGCUCCUAUGGUCCCUAACAAGGGACAGGGGAGGAGAAUGACAUGCUGGGUGAUUUCCAGGACUUGCCAUUCUAAUUUCUGAAUUGAGACCACGUUUAUGACUUUCAGUAACUGCACGGAUUUCUGUUAACCACGAGUGUCUAGAAACAUCCUAGGGAUGCUGGAGAUGGCAGGGGGAAACUUCCCUUUUAGAAUAUAUUCUAAUGGUACAGUUAGAGACAAAAAUAAAAUUUAUUGCGAUCAUGUCCCAUGAGCUGUGCUUG
This is a non-coding RNA of Microcebus murinus (gray mouse lemur), 2211 nucleotides long. NCBI's taxonomy places the organism in Eukaryota, Metazoa, Chordata, Mammalia, Primates, Cheirogaleidae. The record is from RefSeq and is a predicted model, not a curated record.